This 105-nucleotide ribosomal RNA is filed under the name uncultured bacterium. Its description in RNAcentral is "partial 16S ribosomal RNA". It matches the Rfam family "Bacterial small subunit ribosomal RNA", at positions 1378 to 1482 of the family's 1533-position model. The record is from RNAcentral.
CCGUUGUACACACCGCCCGCCACACCAUGGGAGCGGGUUCUGCCAGAAGUAGUUAGCCUAACCGCAAGGAGGGCGAUUACCACGGCAGGGUUCGUGACUGGGGUG